Termitomyces sp. J132 is the source of this 86-nucleotide non-coding RNA. The record is from Rfam. Lineage: Eukaryota; Fungi; Basidiomycota; Agaricomycetes; Agaricales; Lyophyllaceae.
GUGAGCUGUAUGAUGGGCGACUAUCUCGUACAGUUCGGAGAAGACUUUAGUAAGUUUACUUAAGUAAACUGAACUCUUUAUUCUAC